CCCUACCAGUGGUUAGAAGGCCGUCACUAAUUGCUAGAAUUCCGGCACAUAUCUUUAGUUCGGUAUCAUUCUUGGAGCAUAUGCCAACUAGAGGAGGUGAUAGUGGUGGUGUAAUAGCUGGUGGAGGAGGUGGUGUUGUUUGUGGCGGAGGCGGUUUUAAAGUUUGUGGAGGAAGUGGUGGUGGUGAGAUUGUUGGUGAUGGACCGGGACAGCUAAAGCCUUGUGGAAUCCUACGACCACAAACUUUAAAGAAGAUGCCGAAAUUGGGAGAGAGGGAAAAACGUGGUGCUCCUACCGAUUUACAAAAACAAGUAACUGCAUCAAGAUCAGACACAUUUCGGAUGAUGGAACAACAUGGUUCUGCUCUUCCAGUGGUUAGAAGACCGUCACUAAUUGCUAGAAUUCCGGCACAUAUCUUUAGUUCGGUAUCAUUCUUGGAACAUAUUCCAACCAGAGGAGGUGAUAGUGGUGGUGUGAUUGCUGGUGGAGGAGGUGGCGUGGUUUGUGGAGGAGACAACGGUGGCGGUAAGGGUUUUGGAGGAAGUGCCGGUGGUGUGGUCGCUAGUGGAGGUGGUGGUGUAAUAGCUGGUGGAGGAGGUGAUAGUGGAGGUGUAAUAGCUGGUGGAGGUGGUGGUGUAAUAGCUGGUGGAGGAGGUGGUGUGGUUUGCGGAGGAGACAACGGUGGCGGUAAGGGUUUUGGAGGAAGUGCUGGUGGUGUGGUCGCUACUGGAGGUGGUGAUGUGCUCUGUGGUGGAGGCGGUGGUUGGUCAUUGGCUGGCGGUGCUGGUUGAAAUGUUGGUGGAGUUGGCGGUUGGGGAUCGGGUUGCGGCGGAGGUGGUCCCGGAUUACAAAUACAAAUACAAGGUGGUGGUGGAGGGCAGUAAACGGAAUGGUUAUCUGCUCUAACGAUGGUGAGUAAUGGAAUGAUGCUGAAUGAGAGGAAAAGGAUUAUAGUAGUUGAGGCCAUUCUUGAUUGCAUAUUUUUUUGUUUGGUUUUGCAUUUGCGAAAUUUGGACUAUUUAUGAACGAUGGAUUUGAGGAUGAAGUUAGAGUUAUCAAGUUGGUAGCUUCAUAGUAGGAGAACGUGUUGACAAAAAUGUUUGCGUAAAUCUUGCGUUUAGA
RNAcentral lists this long non-coding RNA (1122 nucleotides) under Arabidopsis thaliana (thale cress). RNAcentral describes it as "long non-coding RNA (ATHA_LNC000288)". Lineage: Eukaryota; Viridiplantae; Streptophyta; Magnoliopsida; Brassicales; Brassicaceae. The record is from RNAcentral.